RNAcentral lists this ribosomal RNA (496 nucleotides) under uncultured bacterium. RNAcentral describes it as "partial 16S ribosomal RNA". It matches the Rfam family "Bacterial small subunit ribosomal RNA", at positions 28 to 506 of the family's 1533-position model. The record is from RNAcentral.
GAUGAACGCUGGCGGCGUGCCUAAUACAUGCAAGUCGAGCGAACAGACGAGGAGCUUGCUCCUCUGACGUUAGCGGCGGACGGGUGAGUAACACGUGGAUAACCUACCUAUAAGACUGGGAUAACUUCGGGAAACCGGAGCUAAUACCGGAUAAUAUAUUGAACCGCAUGGUUCAAUAGUGAAAGACGGUUUUGCUGUCACUUAUAGAUGGAUCCGCGCCGCAUUAGCUAGUUGGUAAGGUAACGGCUUACCAAGGCAACGAUGCGUAGCCGACCUGAGAGGGUGAUCGGCCACACUGGAACUGAGACACGGUCCAGACUCCUACGGGAGGCAGCAGUAGGGAAUCUUCCGCAAUGGGCGAAAGCCUGACGGAGCAACGCCGCGUGAGUGAUGAAGGUCUUCGGAUCGUAAAACUCUGUUAUUAGGGAAGAACAAAUGUGUAAGUAACUAUGCACGUCUUGACAGUACCUAAUCAGAAAGCCACGGCUAACUACGU